GCGAAUUUCGUGUAUUAUCGCGUAAGGUGUUUGGUUCUUAUCUUACACUUCGCUGAUGGACUUAUGGACAAGACGAGAAUGUACGCUCGUUCGUGUAUGUUUAUGUACUUUACUUGUUAAUUGUUCAUUUCUUGUGUGAAUGUUCUGUCACACGGGUUAUAAGGUGUUUCACUUGUGUCAUUUGUGGACUAUACGUCGUGGUCGUACUCGAGGCUUAUCUUUUGAGGGCCUCCUGUGAUCGACAUCGUGACUUCGGUAUUUAUAGCCGGCAGCGAGCUUGGAAAAGUCGCUUUACGGCUCAUGAUUAGAACAUUGUAAAGUUCUCUGAGCUAGACAACAAGCCCUGUGCGGUCCUCCCUUCUCGUAAACCGCAUAAGUAACUUCCUUCCACCAGCCGAACUCCUGUGUGGGCCACUCAACGCCCAUAUCCUUCACGCCGGGCACACUCAGUUGGUGAGGUAAAUCUUUGCCGCUGUUGAUUAAUUGCCUGGAGGGAACUCUGGCCCCUUGCGCAGGUUGCCAUUUGUUUAGUGUCACUACUUGCCCUUUUUGUCGUCAAGUCAGCACUUCAAGCUACCUGCAGGACUUCGCCAAGCCACCCUGCAUUCCAUAGCCGUAAAGCCUAAAUCAGGCUAGAAGACCAAGUAAGUUCGUUUUUGGGUUUACCUUAGGUGUUCUGUCGCCUAGGGGAUAUUCGGGUUGCUUUUCCCAGCACCCUUUUUGGUAGGUUAGGCAGGCUAGGUCACGCCAGCCGCAGCCGGUCAGCAGUGUUACGCACAGCUGCCCUACCAUUCAGCAAUUUCGGGCCAUUUUCUACUGGGUCGAUUUGCUUGUGUAUUCGGUCACUUUUACAAUCGAUACUGUGUUACGCACAGCCGUCUGUCGAACACUCGAUCCCGAAUACUUUAUACGAUCUACUCGUGUUACCAUCUAGGCUUGGUCAGCCCAGCCUAACAUUUUUCUUAUACUAUAUAUUCAGCUCACCUAAACAGCAGGUUCGAGCUCUUCUGUGCUUAACGAGCAUUUCGCGUACCUCUGGCCGAAUCCUACGGAGUCACACCAAUUCGUUUGCUUUUACUAGCCUCAAUCCGCUUCUGCAGUGGACCGUUACGACGAAGAUUACAGAAGGCCAUUCAGAGGACGCGCGGGUCGUAACCCUCUCGGUGUGCGCCACCGAGGUUAUCAUCAUCAAGGUGGUCGGGGCCAGCAGGGCCUUCGCAGGCGGUUUAAUCAGCCUAAUCAUCCACAUUUGGUCGAUCCGUUCGACCAGGAGCCGGAGCCUGUCGACAUAGGCCUGUUGGCGAGAGGCGUGCGUUUCGACUUAGAGCCUCGCCCAGCAAUUUUCCGCAUACGCUACCUAGUAGUAGUGCAGCUGGACCCCGAGCUCGAACAGCUACCGCGGCCUACGAGCUUUGUCACAGCCAGCUCCCAGGGAGCGAAUAUUCGACUGCCGUUAUUUGAAUACGCGGACCUGUGCGCGUCUCCACGCAACGAUAUGAUGGAAUAAUCACUGUAACCUCAUCGAGUUGAUUUUCUGUCUUUUUGCUGACGCGGUUUCCACAGAGCAGUCGUUCAAUCAUUACGCUGCACCACGUACUCAUCACUUUCCAGGAUUACUAUUAUUCCAGCUGUUUUUACGCAGCUACUCUUUGUUUUGCAGCUCAAUACAACGCAACUUUACAGCGACACCAGCUUAGGUGGGGCGGGUUUAGUACUCUUUAGUAGUCGCUAGGCUUUUUAUCGCUUAGUCCUUGCCUGUUCGCUUCGCGUCUGUUGCUGCAUCUUUCUCUUUUCCUUUUUCUCAUCUUGUUUUUCGUAAGCUAAUUAUUACACAGGGAAGCAUAAGUCCCACGGAGCCGCUACAUCGCAACAUCCCGCGGGCCGCCACUGCGCAACAUCUUCGCUCGACGAGUCAGCGAGAUCAGCAGGAGGUAAGCAAGGUUUCGCGUAAGGAUACGCGUAGGGUGUCCACCUCAGGGUCUAGUACUAGCGAAGCCGCCCGUAUUCCGCGCUCGCGUUCCGAUAGUGGCAUAGCAGUACAGGUGGAACUUCCCCUGACUAAGUUAGCUCAAACUGAGGGUGAGGUUGCUGCUCCACUAGAAACCCUCGGAACAGAUUCCGAUAGGGACAAGUGGUCGCGUCUCUUUGAAGCGCUAGGUAGGCCCCGCACCUACAUCAACCCUAUCUUUUCUAGGGACAGCGAUUCUGACGACGACAUCAUGCAGAACCUUUACCCUACCCUUGACCCGUUCCAGCACAACGGGUUGGAUGACUUCCUCACUAAGGUUUUCCAGCAAGGAGUUUCUUACCCUCUUUCUAGGAACAACUUGUCUGUUGAAAGCCUGAAGUCGUACCUUGAUGCACUGCCUGGUCGUAACACGCCAUUCGAGGCGUGGUACAACUCCCACAGACAAAACCUCAUAUCAAAAGCCGCAGCGCACUUCGGUGUAUCCGAACCAGGUGCGGCAGCCAACACCGUCUCUCCUCGUCAAUUGUUUGACUAUUACGCCCACAUCCUAGAGGAAAACUUUGCCUCCGCGCGUGCUGAGAGUGAUCUUGCGCGUUUCAAAAGCAUGCAGCAGGGAGCUCUCUCUCCCAUAGUCUUCAAGGACAUGUUGCUAGCGCUGGAGAAGAAGCUGGACGGUAGAGUCAGUAAACACCAAGUCGCCGAACGUUUCCUUGAGGGCUUAAACCCCGUGGUUCGGCAUCACCUGGAGAGGCACCUCAUCACCGUGGAGCGUACCAAGUGGUACGAUCGUUUGGAGAAGACGGCACAAGAGGCUGAGGUUGUGUGGAACAACCUUCCGUUGGAGGACAGAGCAGUGCAGGUACACAAAAAGCCGCCGCAGCAGAAGAGUGCAGCAAAACCCCCUAUUAAGGAAAAACGCACCUUCUACUGCGAGAAGCACGGCACUAAUGCAUCUCACGAUACGGCACAGUGCCGUGUCUUAAAUCCCCCAAAGUCGAAGUCCGCGCUUUUGACCUCUGACAUCCCCUCCGGAAUUGUUGAGCGUUUGGUUGCCUUGAUUUCCCAGGGACAGGGCAGCGCGUCGACCUCAGGGGGGUCCAGAGGAAUGGGCGGGCAAAAGCAGAAGGGGGCUGGGCCAUCUAAGCCCAAGCAGGGACAGGGUGUUAGCGAAUCGCGGGGGAAUAGGCCAUCUUGCGAGUUCUGCGGAACCAUGGGUCACCAGCAGAGCAAGUGCUUCAUUUUCCACCCCGAGCUCGCUCCCGCGGGCUACGAGCCUGCUAACCCAGCCCUGAAGGUUUUAUUUCUACAGCGCAAGAAGGCGGUUGAAAAGAAGGCUGCCUUGGCGGCGGCUGUUGCUGCAGCUUUCGAGGACGACUUCGCAGCAGAGGACGAUGGGGAUGAGGAGGCGGCCUGCUGCACGACGCAGUUCCAUGAAGCGGCGUCGAACGUCUCUCCCAGCCAACAGGCCAGGAUGGCGCCGCUCACAUGGUCGCGCAGCGCGCAAGAGGUAAGGUACAACAGCUUAGCCACUAUGCAUUCGCAGGCUGUUCCUAAGUCCUUUACUCCUGCCCCCUUAGUCACGAAGCAGUAUCCGCCACCGGCACCACCCGUGGCGAACAACUCAAAACGCACUCACACACCGCUAGAUGACAAUAUUCUCUUGCGUAAAAUCUCCGACAUGCCUGUCGGCACUUUCUUCAACCUGCUUUGUCAGCAGGGGCUGCCUUCCACCGGCGGCCCCUUAGACGUUAAACCCCAUCCCCCAAGCACGGCCCAAGCAACGCAGGGUUCAAGCUCAGUUUCGAGCAGCUUCGGGGAGGGAUUUUCCACGCUUCAGGCAGACAAGAGUGUGCAGCUCGCCUGUUUCCCGGCGGCAGCACCGGAGCUGGUCACGCCACCUCCCCUUGAUUCUGGCCUGGCGUCUUUUGCCCUGGCGGCCCAAGGGCGCGCCAAACCCUCCGACCACCGUGGUGCCGGUUUUGAGUACCAGGUAAGUGGGGUUAAGGGUCCACCUCCGCGCACUUUGUCGGAGCUCUCGCCUGACGAGCGGGAGCAGGCUUUAGCGGUUAAUCCGUCGGCAGCGCGUUACAUGGGGGAACCCGAGGGUCUGUAUUACUAUGNNNNNNNNNNNNNNNNNNNNNNNNNNNNNNNNNNNNNNNNNNNNNNNNNNUCGAAGCAGCAGUCUACUGGUUUCAGCCCAUACAGUNUGCUCCACGGAGUUCAGCCCACCAUACCAGCCGCGGUGAAGCAGCGCUUUGAGGAGGACAUCUCCUUCGAUUCGCUGGAGGAGGCUUCGGAAGCUCUUCUUAAGCGUGGCGAGGCUAUGCGUCGUAACAUGAGUAUUGCAGGGGAAAAUUUACUUAUCGCCCAGCAUAGGGAUACGUUACGCUAUGCCGCUUUGCGUGGUGGGGGUAACCAUCCUAGGUUGCGCAGGUUUGAUGUGGGGGAUUAUGUUUAUUAUCGUAAUACUAGUUCGUGCACGGCGUUAGACCAUAAGGUUCAACCUGCCGUACUUCGCGUUAGUGAGGUGCGUCCCAGCGGCGUACUUGUUCUGCAAGGUCAAGACGGUCAAACCAUGCAAACGCAUGUGAUGCACUGUGCACCUUGUCAUUUGCCUAUUUUAGACGAGGUUGUCGAUCCUCGCUUGUCCCGACCUCAUGCUAAUUUGUCCUGUGAGGUUUGCAAAAUGCCUGAUGGGGAAGAAUGGAUGCUUCUCUGUGAUAGCUGUGGGACGGGUUGGCAUACUUAUUGCCUUAAACCGCCUCUCAAACAAAUCCCUGACGGUACUUGGGUGUGUCCUAAUUGUCUUUCCAAAGGCAUCACCGUAGCACAAAUUAACUCUCGAUCUUUGGCUAACUCUGGUAGUAAUUCCAAUAAAUCCAGCACAAAGCCUGUUCCUCCGCAAUAUCUUGCCGAAUUACAAGGGUCACGGGUGUUUGGAUCUAAUUCCGGACCCUCUGGCAGUCGUGCCGUGAGAACCGGUGUCGCUACCUAUGCCGGUAAACGAGGCAGGAAGCAUUUCUUCGAGGUGCUUUAUCAGGACGGCGAAUUGGAGCUGGUGGAUGCUGUGCAGCUGCGCAAUAUGCUUGCACCUAAGUCUGCCCGCCCAAGGCGAGCGGUGGGAGCAGCGGCGGUUGCAGCAGCCACAUCGAAACUGGAGCACUGGAGUUUGGAUUCAGCCGCGGACGUUCCGAUGGCGCUGGAUCUGGCUAUGUCGGGAGACCACUCAGUAUUCAAGAUAGCUUUGGUCACCAAUCAGUUAUUCGAGCAACGUCUUCAACUUCCGUCCGUACCGCAGCCGCAUGUCGACGUGUUGCGAGGAGCGUUGCGUUGGAGCUUGGUUAAUAACGUAAUUCUGCCUUACGAGGUUUCAAAUCCUUUGCGUGUCGCUUUGUUGUCUUCUGGCGCUCGCGUCUUAAAAGGGAAGCCGGUAAAAUUUAGUGAUCCCUUGUCGCCUCAGUUUUACGACGGCGUAGAUAAGCAGUUUACAUCUGUAGAUGCAGCAGUGUUGUCAAUCACUGGCGCGUUGUUAGAUUUGGCAAUUCCAGCAGCGAUUAAGUCUGUUAAGGGCUUCGUGGUCGCCAGAGUUCUGGUUGAUCACAUAUCGGGUGCUGAUGAAGCGCGCAUGAAGUGGUUGUGUAGGCUGCAGGAACAGGAUCGUUUAUUGAUGUUGAGUUGUCCUUCUGUUGAGUCUGAGCACCAGGUUUUUGUCUGGCUGAUUGUGUUCACGAAUCCAGCUAUCAAGCGUGUGAUUUUGAAGGAUAGCAGCUUAGCUGAGCACUUGCUUUGAGGGUGCGUACAUGGAGCUUUCCACGGGCAUUCACCAUCUCGGCUUCGCCCGCUGGGGGGGGGAGUCUGCCGUACGCACGUGUUUUGUUCGGUGCUACAGUCAUGUGACGCGACAGCUGUCACGACAUUUUGGCGUCACGUUCAUUUUACCGUCUUUUAUAAUCGUCUUAGGUUAUAAUCGGUGUGAGUACGCGAAUUUCGUGUAUUAUCGCGUAAGGUGUUUGGUUCUUAUCUUACACUUCGCUGAUGGACUUAUGGACGAGACGAGAAUGUACGCUCGUUCGCGUAUGUUUAUGUACUUUACUUGUUAAUUGUUCAUUUCUUGUGUGAAUGUUCUGUCACACGGGUUAUAAGGUGUUUCACUUGUGUCAUUUGUGGACUAUACGUCGUGGUCGUACUCGAGGCUUAUCUUUUGAGGGCCUCCUGUGAUCGACAUCGUGACUUCGGUAUUUAUAGCCGGCAGCGAGCUUGGAAAAGUCGC
This 6239-nucleotide long non-coding RNA is filed under the name Volvox carteri. RNAcentral's name for it is "long non-coding RNA (VCAR_LNC001743)". Lineage: Eukaryota; Viridiplantae; Chlorophyta; Chlorophyceae; Chlamydomonadales; Volvocaceae. The record is from RNAcentral.